GACAGUUGUCAAGCUGACAGUUUACAUUUUACGAUGGUGUAAAUUUAACAGCUUAACGAACUUAAGCGAGGAUUUUCAAAAUUAUGUGACGGCAUUUCACGAAUUCAGAGAUUAUGGUAGCCUCGUGAAUUGUAUCGAUUAGUCUGGAAUAUUUUUGAUUUUCGUUUCAUACCAAUCGGAAUUUCGCUACUAAUAGAGCAGUUCCGUCGAAAGAUGAUUUGCCUCUCCCUGUACGCCCUGAUCGCGUCAGCAACUUUACUAGCCUGCGUACCCGUUUGCUACAAACGCUUCGAGAUGCAAAAGUUCCUUCAGUGCAUCAAGAAGUAGGUAAACGAUGUUGAUUUGCAUGACCUGUUUCACGGCGCUCGUGGCGGCGGGCUGUAUCGCGUGCGGGCCAAUAGUUUUGGACACUUAUUGGCCCAUAAAGAAGUCCAAGGAAAAAAAGAA
Molecule: long non-coding RNA, 447 nt
Organism: Bombyx mori (domestic silkworm)
Lineage: Eukaryota; Metazoa; Arthropoda; Insecta; Lepidoptera; Bombycidae
Exons: 2
Source: RefSeq, a predicted model, not a curated record